GAACGCACAUUGCGCCCGCUGGAACUCCGGCGGGCACGCCUGUCCGAGCGUCAUUUCAACCCUCAGGCCCCCCUUCGCGGGCGGGACUGGUGUUGGGGCUCGGCCGCUAUCCUGCGGCCGUCCCCUAAAUUCAGUGGCGGCCUCGCCGUGAUCCCUUGCGUAGUAAUACACCUCGCACUGGAAAGCGCCGUGGCCACGCCGUAAAACCCCCAAUUUUCAAUUGUUGACCUCGGAUCAGGUGGGAAUACCCGCUGAACUUAAG
RNAcentral lists this unclassified non-coding RNA (262 nucleotides) under uncultured fungus. Its description in RNAcentral is "sequence contains 5.8S rRNA gene". Lineage: Eukaryota; Fungi. The record is from RNAcentral.